AAGGUUUUGGGUGACCGAGCUUCAAGCCACCGGUGGCGGGGAAGGUGAGAGAGAAGGAGAACGUGGCCUGUGGAGGGAAAAGGUUAGAGAGAAAUGAGAGGGUGGCCACGGCUAAAGAGAAACGGGGAAAAAAGAAAAUGAAGGGAGGGAUUACCGGCAGAGGGAAGAGAUAUUUAGGGUUUUGGGUGACCGAGCUUCAAGCCAACGGUGGAGGGGAAGGUGAGAGAGAAAGAGAAAGCGGUUGACGAAGGGAAAAGUUUAGAAAAAAGUGAGAGGGUG
RNAcentral lists this long non-coding RNA (279 nucleotides) under Theobroma cacao (cacao). RNAcentral's name for it is "long non-coding RNA (TCAC_LNC004037)". The record is from RNAcentral. Lineage: Eukaryota; Viridiplantae; Streptophyta; Magnoliopsida; Malvales; Malvaceae.